Molecule: ribosomal RNA, 1162 nt
Filed under: Salmonella enterica
Lineage: Bacteria; Pseudomonadati; Pseudomonadota; Gammaproteobacteria; Enterobacterales; Enterobacteriaceae
Also listed under: 1 other name
Description: partial 23S ribosomal RNA
Rfam family: Bacterial large subunit ribosomal RNA
Source: RNAcentral
CUGCGAUAAGCGCCGGUAAGGUGAUAUGAACCGUUAUAACCGGCGAUACCCGAAUGGGGAAACCCAGUGUGACUCGUCACACUAUCAUUAACUGAAUCCAUAGGUUAAUGAGGCGAACCGGGGGAACUGAAACAUCUAAGUACCCCGAGGAAAAGAAAUCAACCGAGAUUCCCCCAGUAGCGGCGAGCGAACGGGGAGGAGCCCAGAGCCUGAAUCAGCAUGUGUGUUAGUGGAAGCGUCUGGAAAGGCGCGCGAUACAGGGUGACAGCCCCGUACACAAAAGCGCAUGUGCUGUGAGCUCGAUGAGUAGGGCGGGACACGUGGUAUCCUGUCUGAAUAUGGGGGGACCAUCCUCCAAGGCUAAAUACUCCUGACUGACCGAUAGUGAACCAGUACCGUGAGGGAAAGGCGAAAAGAACCCCGGCGAGGGGAGUGAAAAAGAACCUGAAACCGUGUACGUACAAGCAGUGGGAGCACCCUUUGGGUGUGACUGCGUACCUUUUGUAUAAUGGGUCAGCGACUUAUAUUCUGUAGCAAGGUUAACCGAAUAGGGGAGCCGGAGGGAAACCGAGUCUUAAUUGGGCGUUAAGUUGCAGGGUAUAGACCCGAAACCCGGUGAUCUAGCCAUGGGCAGGUUGAAGGUUGGGUAACACUAACUGGAGGACCGAACCGACUAAUGUUGAAAAAUUAGCGGAUGACCUGUGGCUGGGGGUGAAAGGCCAAUCAAACCGGGAGAUAGCUGGUUCUCCCCGAAAGCUAUUUAGGUAGCGCCUCGUGAAUUCAUCUCCGGGGGUAGAGCACUGUUUCGGCUAGGGGGCCAUCCCGGCUUACCAACCCGAUGCAAACUGCGAAUACCGGAGAAUGUUAUCACGGGAGACACACGGCGGGUGCUAACGUCCGUCGUGAAGAGGGAAACAACCCAGACCGCCAGCUAAGGUCCCAAAGUCAUGGUUAAGUGGGAAACGAUGUGGGAAGGCCCAGACAGCCAGGAUGUUGGCUUAGAAGCAGCCAUCAUUUAAAGAAAGCGUAAUAGCUCACUGGUCGAGUCGGCCUGCGCGGAAGAUGUAACGGGGCUAAACCAUGCACCGAAGCUGCGGCAGCGACACUGUGUGUUGUUGGGUAGGGGAGCGUUCUGUAAGCCUGUGAAGGUGUGUCGUGAGGC